This 473-nucleotide ribosomal RNA is filed under the name uncultured organism. RNAcentral's name for it is "partial 16S ribosomal RNA". It matches the Rfam family "Bacterial small subunit ribosomal RNA", at positions 335 to 800 of the family's 1533-position model. The record is from RNAcentral.
ACUCCUACGGGAGGCAGCAGUAGGGAAUCUUCCACAAUGGGUGCAAACCUGAUGGAGCAAUGCCGCGUGAGUGAAGAAGGUCUUCGGAUCGUAAAGCUCUGUUGUUAGAGAAGAACACGUGCUAGGUAACUACUAGCGCCUUGACGGUAUCUAACCAGAAAGUCACGGCUAACUACGUGCCAGCAGCCGCGGUAAUACGUAGGUGACAAGCGUUGUCCGGAUUUAUUGGGCGUAAAGGGAGCGCAGGCGGUCUGUUUAGUCUAAUGUGAAAGCCCACGGCUUAACCGUGGAACGGCAUUGGAAACUGACAGACUUGAAUGUAGAAUAGGAAAAUGGAAUUCCAAGUGUAGCGGUGGAAUGCGUAGAUAUUUGGAGGAACACCAGUGGCGAAGGCGAUUUUCUGGUCUAACAUUGACGCUGAGGCUCGAAAGCGUGGGGAGCGAACAGGAUUAGAUACCCCUGUAGUCCCAUGA